RNAcentral lists this ribosomal RNA (253 nucleotides) under uncultured bacterium. RNAcentral describes it as "partial 16S ribosomal RNA". It matches the Rfam family "Bacterial small subunit ribosomal RNA", at positions 524 to 776 of the family's 1533-position model. The record is from RNAcentral.
UACAGAGGGGGCAAGCGUUGUUCGGAAUUACUGGGCGUAAAGGGCGCGUAGGCGGCCUUCUAAGUCGAACGUGAAAUCCCUGGGCUCAACCCAGGAACUGCGUCCGAUACUGGAAGGCUUGAAUCCGGGAGAGGGAUGCGGAAUUCCAGGUGUAGCGGUGAAAUGCGUAGAUAUCUGGAGGAAUACCAGUGGCGAAGGCGCUGGGCUGGACGGCGAUUGACGCUGAGGUGCGAAAGCGUGGGGAGCAAACAGG